This 495-nucleotide ribosomal RNA is filed under the name uncultured bacterium. RNAcentral's name for it is "partial 16S ribosomal RNA". It matches the Rfam family "Bacterial small subunit ribosomal RNA", at positions 28 to 507 of the family's 1533-position model. The record is from RNAcentral.
GACGAACGCUGGCGGCGUGCCUAAUACAUGCAAGUAGAACGCUGAAGGAGGAGCUUGCUUCUCUGGAUGAGUUGCGAACGGGUGAGUAACGCGUAGGUAACCUGCCUGGUAGCGGGGGAUAACUAUUGGAAACGAUAGCUAAUACCGCAUAAGAGUAGAUGUUGCAUGACAUUUGCUUAAAAGUUGCAAUUGCAUCACUACCAGAUGGACCUGCGUUGUAUUAGCUAGUUGGUGAGGUAACGGCUCACCAAGGCGACGAUACAUAGCCGACCUGAGAGGGGGAGCGGCCACACUGGGACUGUGACACGGCCCAGACUCCUUCGGGAGGGAGCAGUAGGGAAUCUUCAGCAAUGGACGGAAGUCUGACCGAGCAACGCCGCGUGAGUGAAGAAGGUUGUCGGAUCGGAAAGCACUGUUGUAAGGGAAGAACGAGUGUGAGAGUGGAAAGUUCACACUGUGACGGUAUCUUACCAGAAAGGGACGGCUAACUACGUG